GCGUAAUUCAAGGGAGUGGGACGAGCGGCCUUGUGCUGCGAAGCAAUCGGAAGUGGUUCCAAGAAAAGCCUCUAAGCUUCAGUCAUACGAGACCGUACCGCAAACCGACACAGGUGGGCGAGAUGAGUAUUCUAAGGCGCUUGAGAGAACUCGGGAGAAGGAACUCGGCAAAUUGGUACCGUAACUUCGGGAAAAGGUACGCCCCAGUAGCUUGGCUGAUUUACUUCAGUAGGGCGAAAGGGUUGCAAUAAACUGGUGGCUGCGACUGUUUAAUAAAAACACAGCACUCUGCAAACACGAAAGUGGACGUAUAGGGUGUGACGCCUGCCCGGUGCUGGAAGAUUAAAUGAUGGGGUGCAAGCUCUUGAUUGAAGUCCCAGUAAACGGCGGCCGUAACUAUAACGGUCCUAAGGUAGCGAAAUUCCUUGUCGGGUAAGUUCCGACCUGCACGAAUGGCGUAACGAUGGCCACACUGUCUCCUCCCGAGACUCAGCGAAGUUGAAGUGUUUGUGAUGAUGCAAUCUACCCGCGGCUAGACGGAAAGACCCCAUGAACCUUUACUGUAGCUUUGCAUUGGACUUUGAACCAAUCUGUGUAGGAUAGGUGGGAGGCUUUGAAGCGGGGACGCCAGUUCUCGUGGAGCCAACCUUGAAAUACCACCCUGGUUUGUUUGAGGUUCUAACCUUGGUCCGUUAUCCGGAUCGGGGACAGUGCAUGGUAGGCAGUUUGACUGGGGCGGUCUCCUCCUAAAGUGUAACGGAGGAGUUCGAAGGUACGCUAAUUACGGUCGGACAUCGUGAUGAUAGUGCAAUGGCAUAAGCGUGCUUAACUGCGAGACUGACAAGUCGAGCAGGUACGAAAGUAGGACAUAGUGAUCCGGUGGUUCUGUAUGGAAGGGCCAUCGCUCAACGGAUAAAAGGUACUCUGGGGAUAACAGGCUGAUUCCUCCCAAGAGUUCAUAUCGACGGGGGAGUUUGGCACCUCGAUGUCGGCUCAUCACAUCCUGGGGCUGUAGCCGGUCCCAAGGGUAUGGCUGUUCGCCAUUUAAAGUGGUACGUGAGCUGGGUUUAAAACGUCGUGAGACAGUUUGGUCCCUAUCUGCCGUGGGCGUUGGAAAUUUGAAGGGGGCUGCUCCUAGUACGAGAGGACCGGAGUGGACGAACCUCUGGUGUACCGGUUGUCACGCCAGUGGCAUUGCCGGGUAGCUAAGUUCGGAAGAGAUAACCGCUGAAAGCAUCUAAGCGGGAAACUUGCCUUGAGAUGAGAUUUCCCGGAGCUUUAAGCUCCUUGAAGGGUCGUUCGAGACCAGGACGUUGAUAGGUCAGGUGUGGAAGUGCAGUAAUGCAUUAAGCUAACUGAUACUAAUUGCCCGUACGGCUUGUCCCU
This 1386-nucleotide ribosomal RNA is filed under the name Massilia soli. RNAcentral describes it as "partial 23S ribosomal RNA". It matches the Rfam family "Bacterial large subunit ribosomal RNA", at positions 1549 to 2925 of the family's 2925-position model. Lineage: Bacteria; Pseudomonadati; Pseudomonadota; Betaproteobacteria; Burkholderiales; Oxalobacteraceae. The record is from RNAcentral.